Molecule: small nucleolar RNA, 157 nt
Filed under: Sugiyamaella lignohabitans
Lineage: Eukaryota; Fungi; Ascomycota; Dipodascomycetes; Dipodascales; Trichomonascaceae
Description: Candida lignohabitans Small nucleolar RNA snR8
Rfam family: Small nucleolar RNA snR8
Source: Rfam by way of RNAcentral
UUUUUCUUUGAUACGAAUGUCUCCUAUUCACUGCACCAUUUAGGACCAAUGAAUGAGUGGAGGGGAAAAGGAGCCUAGACGAAGUUCAACAGCCAACCUCAUAAUCAAGAACAUUAUCUCUUAAUCUGUUUUUGAUACUGGGCAGCUUGAUACAUAC